UGAGCAAUGAAUCUUUUGGUACUAUUACAUUUUAGAAGGUCGUAGCGAAUUACGUAAAUAAUAGUCGUGUGAUUAGCAAAACACUAUAUAUAUUCCUAUGAAUCACUUCACUUACUGAACGUAAUAUAUACUAUAAAAAAUAUAUAAUAUUAUAGUAUAUUUAGUUGAGA
RNAcentral lists this ribosomal RNA (170 nucleotides) under Foraminifera environmental sample. RNAcentral's name for it is "5.8S ribosomal RNA". The record is from RNAcentral. Lineage: Eukaryota; Foraminifera.